RNAcentral lists this ribosomal RNA (486 nucleotides) under uncultured bacterium. RNAcentral's name for it is "bacterial SSU rRNA". It matches the Rfam family "Bacterial small subunit ribosomal RNA", at positions 30 to 513 of the family's 1533-position model. The record is from RNAcentral.
AUUGAACGCUGGCGGAAUGCUUUACACAUGCAAGUCGAACGGUAGAGGGGGCAACCCCUUGAGAGUGGCGAACGGGUGAGUAAUAUAUCGGAACGUGCCCAGUCGUGGGGAUAACGUAGCGAAAGUUACGCUAAUACCGCAUACGAUCUAAGGAUGAAAGCGGGGGAUCGCAAGACCUCGCGCGAUUGGAGCGGCCGAUAUCAGAUUAGGUAGUUGGUGAGGUAAAGGCUCACCAAGCCAACGAUCUGUAGCUGGUCUGAGAGGACGACCAGCCACACUGGAACUGAGACACGGUCCAGACUCCUACGGGAGGCAGCAGUGGGGAAUUUUGGACAAUGGACGCAAGUCUGAUCCAGCCAUUCCGCGUGCAGGAUGAAGGGCCCUCGGGUUGUAAACUGCUUUGUACGGAACGAAAGGUUUGUCUUAAUACUAGGAGCUCAUGACGGUACCGUAAGAAUAAGACACCGGACUAACUACGUGCCAGCA